AGCAUAAAUGGCUGCCCACUGCUCCGGGUGUGUGUUCACAGUGUGUGUGUGUGUGUGUGUGUGUUCACUGUUGUGUGUGUGCACUUCGGAUGGGUUAAAUGCAGAGCACAAAUUCUGAGUAUGGGUCACCAUACUUGGCUGAAUGUGACGUCACUUUCUGAACAUAGACAUGAAAGUGUGCUAUUCAAACCUAAAUUGUUAUAAUUCAUAAAUGUUUUUUUGUAAUAUGACAAGGGGAGGAGCCUGCUAACAGAUUUUAAAGUACAAUUAUUACCAAAAACGUGGUAAAAUAUCUAUUUAGGAGUCUUAGACCUAACGAUAAAUAGUUUGUGAUGAUCAAAUCAGGAUUUAAUCAUAAUAUACUGAAGUGAGCGUGUGUCAGUUUGCGGGGUUAAAGAAAUGUAGUGUUGUUAUCUGAACACAUGUCAGUGUAUCUGAGUGAGGUCUUCAGGUCACAGUAAACAUUGAUCUUAACAGCUGAUUCUGGACCUGCUUGUGUAGGAGCUGAAGCUGAUUUAGAGCUGGUGACUGGAGACGGUGGCUUUGUUUCGCUUGGAGCUGGAAAAGAUGAAUGUUCAGAUACGUCAUAGACUACCAUCAUAUUUAAAUGACUGAUGAUUAAUUGUUCAUAUAAAUCAUUUACUUGGAUACUUGACAGUAUAUGUGGCUGAGGUCUUCAGUUGAUCUCUGUGUUUAAGCUGACAUCUCCACUCUCUGUUGUGAUCUUCAUUCAGGAGUGUUGUAGUCAGAGAGAUGAGACACUGUUCAGAGGAGAAUGAGAUCUGAAAUCUGGAGUCUGUCUGCAGAUUCACACCAGCCUG
Long non-coding RNA from Carassius gibelio (silver crucian carp), 821 nucleotides. RefSeq lists it as uncharacterized. NCBI's taxonomy places the organism in Eukaryota, Metazoa, Chordata, Actinopteri, Cypriniformes, Cyprinidae. The record is from RefSeq and is a predicted model, not a curated record. The transcript is spliced from 3 exons.